GUGGCGAGUGGCGACGGGUGAGUAAUACAUCGGAACAUGUCCUGUAGUGGGGGAUAGCCCGGCGAAAGCCGGAUUAAUACCGCAUACGAUCUACGGAUGAAAGCGGGGGACCUUCGGGCCUCGCGCUAUAGGGUUGGCCGAUGGCUGAUUAGCUAGUUGGUGGGGUAAAGGCCUACCAAGGCGACGAUCAGUAGCUGGUCUGAGAGGACGACCAGCCACACUGGGACUGAGACACGGCCCAGACUCCUACGGGAGGCAGCAGUGGGGAAUUUUGGACAAUGGGCGAAAGCCUGAUCCAGCAAUGCCGCGUGUGUGAAGAAGGCCUUCGGGUUGUAAAGCACUUUUGUCCGGAAAGAAAUCCUUGGCUCUAAUACAGUCGGGGGAUGACGGUACCGGAAGAAUAAGCACCGGCUAACUACGUGCCAGCAGCCGCGGUAAUAUGUAGGGUGCAAGCGUUAAUCGGAAUUACUGGGCGUAAAGCGUGCGCAGGCGGUUUGCUAAGACCGAUGUGAAAUCCCCGGGCUCAACCUGGGAACUGCAUUGGUGACUGGCAGGCUAGAGUAUGGCAGAGGGGGGUAGAAUUCCACGUGUAGCAGUGAAAUGCGUAGAGAUGUGGAGGAAUACCGAUGGCGAAGGCAGCCCCCUGGGCCAAUACUGACGCUCAUGCACGAAAGCGUGGGGGAGCAAACAGGAUUAGAUA
RNAcentral lists this ribosomal RNA (700 nucleotides) under uncultured bacterium. RNAcentral describes it as "bacterial SSU rRNA". It matches the Rfam family "Bacterial small subunit ribosomal RNA", at positions 88 to 784 of the family's 1533-position model. The record is from RNAcentral.